This 332-nucleotide ribosomal RNA is filed under the name uncultured eukaryote. RNAcentral describes it as "partial 18S ribosomal RNA". It matches the Rfam family "Eukaryotic small subunit ribosomal RNA", at positions 1470 to 1796 of the family's 1831-position model. The record is from RNAcentral.
CUCCUAGAUGUCCUGGGCUGCACGCGGCAUACAAUGACGAAGUAAACGAGUUUGGUUUGUUUGAGCUCCUUGUCUGAAAAUUAUUGAGGAAUCUGUUCAACCUUCGUCGUAUUGGGGAUAGUUGCUUGCAAUUAUUUGCCUUGAACCAGGAAUGCAUUGUAAGGUUGAUUCAGCAUGUCGACUUGAAUACGUCCCUGCCGUUUGUACACACCGCCCGUCGUUGCAAUCGAUCGGUUCACUGCUAGAGACCUUCUGGAGAUGUUGGCGACUUCGGUUGCUCUAUGUUGUAGUCGGUCAGUAGCAGUGAACUAGAGAAUGCAAAAGUCGUAACA